UACGGGGGGGGCAAGCGUUGUUCGGAAUUACUGGGCGUAAAGGGCGCGUAGGCGGCCUUCUAAGUCGGACGUGAAAUCCCUCGGCUUAACCGAGGAACUGCGUCCGAUACUGAAAGGCUUGAAUCCGGGAGAGGGAUGUGGAAUUCCAGGCGUAGCGGUGAAAUGCGUAGAUAUCUGGAGGAACACCGGUGGCGAAGGCGGCGUUCUGGACUGCAACUGACACUGAGGAACGAAAGCCAGGGGAGCAAACGGG
RNAcentral lists this ribosomal RNA (253 nucleotides) under uncultured bacterium. Its description in RNAcentral is "partial 16S ribosomal RNA". It matches the Rfam family "Bacterial small subunit ribosomal RNA", at positions 524 to 776 of the family's 1533-position model. The record is from RNAcentral.